CCGCAGACACACUGAAGUCGCUAGACGUCGUGAGGAACACAUCCGGGGAAGAAGACACAGGUGGCUGGUCAUCGAGAGCCCGCUGGGGGAAGAGCACACAGACAGGCACCGGCAGGCCAUUGACCAGCGGGACAAGGGGUGCUCAAUGUCAUCACAAGGGUCCUUAAGAGGGAAAGAGGAAGCCAUGAGGGUCAGAGUCAAAGGAAGACUUGAAGAUACUACACUGAGGACUUUAAAGAUGAAGGAAGGGGCGAAAACCAAGAAUGUGGGAAGCCUCUAGAAGCUAGAGAAGGCAAGGAAACAGAUUUUCCACUAGAGCCUCCAGAAGGAACACAGCCCUGCUGACCCACUGUAAUGUCUGACCUCUAGAUGUGUAAGGGUAGUAAGACUGAAAGUCUCAGAAAGGCACUGUUACAUUCUUAUUCCACAACCAUGCAACUCAAAACUGGGGUCCUCAGCAAUGAGCGAGGGGCGAGAGAAGGCACUGUAUAAACAUGGCACAUCCUCCUGGAAAGUCAACUUUACUCAAAGCUUUAGAAACCCAGCUCAAACUAGCUGAAGCAGAAAAGACACUACUGCGCCUGUAAGUUGAAAUUUUGGAGGGAUAUAUUUCAGAGGUGUGGCUAGAUCCAAGGGCUCUCUGGAAAACUCUGUGAAAAAAUGCUUCCUCAAGUCCAGAAACCAGAAGCUCAGGAAAUUCUUGCUUGGUUCCUCUUGUUAGAGGCAGAGAUUAUUCAACGACCUACAGGGUAGCGUUUGAACAUUGUCACCAGGAGUCUUUACUUUGCCAUUUUCCAAGUCUGUUCUCCUCAGUGUUGGUUUCAUUUACAAGAAGGCCAUCUUUGCCCUCGUGGCAAUGAUGGUCUUUACUCCAGGCUUAAGACCCUUACUAUCUACUAUUUCCAAAGCGGAGAGAGAACUUCCCACACCUAGUGACCUGUGACACAGGAUUUUAUCCUGAGGACAGAGGGAAUUCAAUUGGCUAACAUAAUCUGUCUUCCAAUGGAGUAAGAAUGUCUGGACUCUUUCCUUCACCUACCCCCAAGACAUGGAGGUGUCUAAAAGAUAAAUAAAACUUGGUGACUGACUGAAGGAGGAAGAGGGGAUUUCAGGCAAAAUCAACCCUGUUCACUAUGAGGAGACUUCAGAAAGGUUGCCUGCUUCUGGGGAGCAUAGUCCCUGAUUCCUCAAGACACACAUUUAUUCUUUUCUUCAAUGUAUUUGCCUGCAGUCAAAACAAAAUCAUUACCUUUAGCAAAGUUCACAUGUUUCAGCCAAAUCCAUAUGCAUCUGAUCAGUUCUGUAGGUUAUGGGUGAGCAUGAACAUAUAAAAGAGGCACCUGCCUGUGCCCAUCUACUCCAUGGAGUUUGAAAAGGGGCCACUUAUGGAGAAUGUCUUUAGGGACAGAACCAACCACCCUGUCUUUCCUCCAACUCUCAAAGUAACUUCUGGCUUUAAUCCUCAAGUAUCUAUGCUGGAGUUUAAGAAAAAUGUUUUUCAUAGAAUUCAGGUGUAUGAUAUUGCAUGAGUUGUCCAUCUUUGUAUAUAUCUCAAGACUUGUGGUGUUAGUUAAAGAUUCAGAGCUCUGUGUCCUGAACACAGAGUAAUACCAGCAUUACUAAGGAUGAUCAUGGGAUUUUAAAAUUCCUCCCUCAAAUAGAUCUUACAUACUUACCAGUCAACAUAAGUUAAGACAAAAAGAGCAAAUUUAGAUGUAAAACCAUCUUGGGGCCGGGUGCUGUGGCUCACGUCUGUAAUCCCAGCACUUUGGGAGGCCGAGGCGGGUAGAUCACGAGGUCAGGAGAUCGAGACCAUCCUGGCCAACACGGUGAAACCCCGUCUCUACUAAAAGCACAAAAAAUUAGCCGGGCAUGGUGGCAGGCGCCUGUAGUCCCAGCUACUAGGGAGGCUGAGGCAGGAGAAUGGUGUGAACCCUGGAGGCGGAGCUUGCAGUGAGCCGAGAUCAUGCCACUGCACUCCAGCCUGGGCGACAGAGCGAGACUCCAUCUCAAAAAAAACCAACCAACCAAACAAACAAACAAAAAAA
Molecule: long non-coding RNA, 2048 nt
Filed under: Pongo abelii (Sumatran orangutan)
Lineage: Eukaryota; Metazoa; Chordata; Mammalia; Primates; Hominidae
Description: lincRNA
Source: RNAcentral